RNAcentral lists this long non-coding RNA (3103 nucleotides) under Mus pahari (shrew mouse). RNAcentral describes it as "predicted gene 10564 (MGP_PahariEiJ_G0003835.1)". The record is from RNAcentral. Lineage: Eukaryota; Metazoa; Chordata; Mammalia; Rodentia; Muridae.
GGAAUCCAGGGCAUUAGGGAGCCAGGAGGCACACUGGAUGUCCCAAAAGGGCUUAGAGGCCCAGGACCCCAGGAACCACCUCUCAUGGUGGAUAGUUGAACUCUUCCCCAACAACACCCUACAGUGCCUGGUGGUUCCCACCUGACCCCACCGUGUCCAAGGCUGGGGGCUGGGCAGGUGCAUCCCAGCCCAGCUCAGGCAGAUGUGUGUGAUGUGUUCACUGCGCUGCAGCUGUCCACCCAGCACUUCUGGCCAACUCGACUCAUGUGGCAGUGGUUCUGCUGCACCACCGAAGUAGGGGCAUCCCCACCCCCACCCCAGCAGGGGUCAGUCUCCACACAGAAUUACAGACCCAGGAAGACAUCCUGAAACCUGGGGAGGAAAGUUUGCAGGGGGUGGCUCUUGGAUCCCUCAUCCAGUACCUGAGGCCACCAAGAGAGCCUUGGACCUCUCUGCCUGUCCUGCUGCGAUUCCACAUGCGCACCCGUGCCCAAAGGGCUAAGAGAAGCAGUUGGGCCCCCGCAUGCGGCUCUGGAACCGCAAGUGCCCCCUCCCUGAGCACAGCCCCGACCCGGGCCAGGAGCAGCGGCGCCCCCGCGCGUCUACCCGCCCCAGCCCUGCGUCUGCAGCAACAGGAGCGGCACCUACUGUGCUUCUGCGGGGCGGCUCCCGCGUCCAUUGUCUCCGCGUUGACAGCAGCGAGGUGGCCACGAGGGCGCGGACUCGGGUUGUCAGUGGCCUGGCUCUGAGGCUAAGGCUCCGAGGACAUCGCUUCGCCAGGGCUGGCGGCCCGCGGCGGACUGUGCGCGCAGCGCGUUCGGCGCUGUGACACUGAGCCCCGUGGAGGCGCCGCGCGAGGAGCGCGCUGUCACUCGUGCCGCCCGCACCACACCCCCUGCCCGCCCCGCUCUGGGAGGGGGCCGGGGGCCCCCGGCUGCGCUGCGCAUAGAGCGGGGCGCGACGUGGAACCGCGGGCAAGCGCAACGUGCAGAGACUGGGAGCGGAGAGGACAGCGGAGCCAGCACCCGCCCCGCGCCCGCCGCAACCAAAGUACUCUUUCUGCAAAGAUGCACCCGCAGCCUCCCCCCUCGCCUCUGCGUGGCCGGAGCCUCGGACCAGGAGGGGGCGGGGCCGAGAGCACUUCUCACAUCUCGAGGCUGCUCCACGCAGCCAAAGCAAAAAGCUGAGCGGGGAGGUCAUUGCUCUCCGCCCCCAGGUGCUUGAAGAGGGUCUAGAUCACCUCUCCCCGGGACCCAGAUAUCAGAGAGCACAUGCAUAGCGCUGAAAGUCCCAUAACCAGGGGAAAAAGGUAAUAGCCCAGCCCCAAGAGCUGGAUAGGAGUAUCAUCCCUUAGCUCCCUUCAGGAGAAGUGUUUCUGGGUCAGAGUGGGAUGGGGCUUGGUGCUGCUGUCUUGGAAACCACCAUUCGGGCCUGGAGAGAGGACCAGGGUAGGAGAUGCAAGUAAAGUCCUGGCUCCUCUCUGACUCUCUGACCAGCCCCUGGCUUCCCACAGAGCCCCUUCCUGCUUUACCAGGUCCCCCGAGGGUGUCAUAGACCAUCUUGGCACCUCCUUGCCAAGUUAGGCUUCUCAGCAGCCCCUAGCUCUGCUCCAUCCCACUGUCUGUAAGCAGGCAGGGUUGGAGAGGCAGAGGGGAAAAGGCAGGAGAAAAUGUCUCACUCACUCCUGUGUCUGUAGAGUCCUCGGCCCCCUCCUGGGUAUGCUUUGCCUUUGAGGAGCAGUUUUCUCUUCAGCCCAUCUUAACAACUAUGGCCCGGAUAGGGUCCCAUCGUGCCAGCCAGCCACUCCAGCCCCAGACCGCUGAGAAUCUAAGCACUUGCUCUGUAGUGUGUACAAUACUCUAUACUGUGCGCUUCCACACCGAGUGGGUUCCUGGACCCUAUGCUUUGUGGUCUGACCUGGGGAGUUCAAAAUGGGGUGGGAGAUCUUAGCCAGACCAAGGAGAAGGUAUAAGCAAUGAGGAGACUAGAACUCUGAAUGCCACCCAGCAGAAGGAAGACUGAAUCUGAGGCGAGGCCCCUCUCAGCAUUCUGGGAGCAGGUUUCUAAGUCAGGAGGACUUAGAAAGGUGCCUCAUAUAUGGAAAGGUGUGUCCUUUGAGACCAGUGCUUCCUGUUCUUUUUGUCCCAGGGCAUGUCUUCUCCACUCAGGGACCUUGGUCUAAUGACUUAAGGGUUCAUGUCCCAGCUCCUACAGACCCAUGAGACCUCAGUACCUCCUCUCCAGUCUCAGUUUCCCCUGAUGCAGACUCACUGGUCUUUACAGAUCCUUGACUCUCCUCAAGCCACCCAUUGAUUCCUUAGCUCUACCACAGAUCCUGUGACCAAAGCUGACUCAUGAGAGAUGACACAUCCAUCACACUUACGGGGCAGCUGAACUCCAAGGUGCUCUGCUCUCUAGGCUCUCUUGCGCGCGUACACACACACACCAUAGCUGUUGAAGCUCUAUUAGGCAUACCUUCUGGGAUGCCUCAUCUGGCUAAGGAUGCCUGUGCUCAGACUGCCCAGGUAAGUAGCACCAGGCAUUCCUACCACAGCCACAAACCCUUGACAAUAUCAUCAUCAUCAUCAUCAUCAUCAUCAUCAUCAUCAUCAUCAUGCAAUAGCCAACUAGAGCUAUUCUCCAAGAUCCAUGGCUUCCUGAGCCACGCUGUGGAGCAGUUAUCAGAAUUCCUUCCCAGGGGCCUGUGGUACCAACUCUGUACUCCACCUGCCAUGACCUCACAGGCACACAUAUUCCCUCAGACUUCACCUGGCUUCCUUUUCUGUAAUGCAAACUCCAGGAACUUCUCUGUACUCCCACUUCCCAGGCCAGAAGCACACCUUCCGCUCCCACCCUGACAGCAUGAGCUUUCCCAGGACACCAGGAGACCAUAAGAGAUUAACGAAGCAUGCGUGAAUAGCUGCACAGAGUGGGUAAACACUGUGCUGCUCUUGAAAAGGACCUGAGUUCCAUUCUCAGACCCACAUUAGACAGCUCUGAAAGCCUGUACUGGUACCUCCAGGGAAUUGUACAUCUCCUUCUAGCCCCACAGGUACUUGCACUCAUGUGAACACAUACACAACUAAAAAUAAAAUCUUUAAAG